Molecule: ribosomal RNA, 118 nt
Filed under: Pteropus alecto (black flying fox)
Lineage: Eukaryota; Metazoa; Chordata; Mammalia; Chiroptera; Pteropodidae
Source: RNAcentral
GUCUACAGCCAUGCUCCCCUGAACAAGCCUGAUCCUUCGGAUCUCGGAAGCUAAGCAGGGUCAGGCCUGGUUAGUAUUUGGAUGGGAGACCACCUAGGAAGACCAGGUGCUGUAGGCA